AUGCCCCUUUUUAGUAGACAUGGAUCUUUCAUUUUGAUAUGUCUGCAAUAUGCUGAGCCAUGCAGACUGAGCUCUUUUUACUUUUUACUAUUAUUAUUAUUUCUUAUUUGGUAUGUGCCUUACGUGCUUUCUCCAAUGCCGUAUGUGCUCUCCUGUCGUGUGUGUGUGUGUGUGUGUGUGUGUGUGUGUGUGUGUGUGUGUGUGUGUGUGUGUGUGUGUGUGUGUGUGUGUGUGUGUGUGUGUGUGUGUGUGUUGCUCUCCUUCUGCCUCUCUCACCACCUGCCCCUGCCUGCUACAAUCCACAACCUGCGACGAUGCUCUGUGUGCAUUUCUUUUUCCAUAUCAUUUGCAUACUUACUCAGUUAUUUUGGAUUAAUGAAUUGUGCUAAAGGGCUGCAUGUUAUUCAUUUGAACAUUAGGAGCUUGCCACCUAAAAUUGAUUUACUGAGAGCCUGGCUUACCUAUAAUAAACCCCAUGUAAUAAAUUUGUCUGAAACUUGGUUAAACAGCAAUAUUUCUGAUGAUGAAGUCAAACUUGAUAAUUAUGUUCUAUUUAGGAACGAUAGAGGCUCAAGAGGUGGGGGCCUCUUAACAUAUGUAUCCUCAAAUUUGAUUGCAGAACUUGUUCUUCCAAAUGAGAAUCCCCAGCAUUUUGAAGGCCUUUUCGUCAAAAUCAUUUUUCAUGAAAAUAAACGACUAAUCAUUGGAAAUAUUUAUAAACCUCCAUCUGCCCCAGCAGACACUACUGACUGUAUCCUGUCUACCAUUAAUUCUUUAGACUGCACCAGUGAAAAAAUCAUAUUAGGUGACUUUGAUUCUAAUUGGCUGGAUCGCUCCUCUCAAAAAGAUCGGAACCUCUUUAACAGCAUAAAUCUAACUCAACUCAUAACUGAACCCACUAGAGUCGGUCCCAGUUCUUCUUCUUUGCUUGAUUGGAUUUUAGUUUCCCAUCCUGGCAGAAUUGUACAAUCUGGGGUCUUACCUGACUCUUUUAGUGACCACUCUAUGAUUUUUUGUAUUUGGAAAAUCAAAGUGCCUCAUCUUCCUCCUAAAAUGAUUAAAGUAAGACAAUUUAAUAAAAUUAACCCUGAAAACUUCACUCAGGAUAUACUAAAUAUAAAUUGGGAGAGAUUCAAAUUAAUCCCAUCUGUUGAAGAUGCUUGGAAUUUAUUUUAUACUGAGGAACAAGCAUGCUCCUUUGAAAUCAAUUAUGGUCAAGGGUCGACAUCUACCUUGGAUCAAGGGAGAUCUCAUACACUUAUUCAAGCAAAGAGACAAGGCCUGGAAAAAAUACCGUAA
RNAcentral lists this long non-coding RNA (1299 nucleotides) under Gadus morhua (Atlantic cod). RNAcentral describes it as "lncRNA (ENSGMOG00000035433.1)". The record is from RNAcentral. Lineage: Eukaryota; Metazoa; Chordata; Actinopteri; Gadiformes; Gadidae.